This 544-nucleotide ribosomal RNA is filed under the name Natronococcus jeotgali. RNAcentral describes it as "bacterial SSU rRNA". It matches the Rfam family "Archaeal small subunit ribosomal RNA", at positions 340 to 879 of the family's 1478-position model. The record is from RNAcentral. Lineage: Archaea; Methanobacteriati; Methanobacteriota; Halobacteria; Halobacteriales; Natrialbaceae.
CGCGAAACCUUUACACUGCACGCCAGUGCGAUAAGGGGACUCCAAGUGCGAGGGCAUAGCGCCCUCGCUUUUCUGCACCGUAAGGUGGUGCAGGAACAAGUGCUGGGCAAGACCGGUGCCAGCCGCCGCGGUAAUACCGGCAGCACGAGUGAUGGCCGCUGUUAUUGGGCCUAAAGCGUCCGUAGCUGGCCAGGCAAGUCUAUCGGGAAAUCUCCCCGCUUAACGGGGAGGCGUCCGGUGGAAACUGCCUGGCUUGGGACCGGAAGAUCCAGAGGGUACGUCCGGGGUAGGAGUGAAAUCCUGUAAUCCUGGACGGACCACCGGUGGCGAAAGCGCUCUGGAAAGACGGAUCCGACGGUGAGGGACGAAAGCUCGGGUCACGAACCGGAUUAGAUACCCGGGUAGUCCGAGCUGUAAACGAUGUCUGCUAGGUGCGCCACAGGCUACGGAGCCUGUGGUGUGCCGUAGGGAAAGCCGUGAAGCAGGACCGCUGGGAAAGUACGUCCGCAAGGAUGAAACUUAAAGGAAUUGGCGGGGGGAGCAC